Molecule: ribosomal RNA, 787 nt
Filed under: Weissella hellenica
Lineage: Bacteria; Bacillati; Bacillota; Bacilli; Lactobacillales; Lactobacillaceae
Description: bacterial SSU rRNA
Rfam family: Bacterial small subunit ribosomal RNA
Source: RNAcentral
CUAUAAUGCAGUCGACGCUUUGUCUUUAACUGAUCUGACGAGCUUGCUCUGAUGUGAUUUUAUCUGACAAAGAGUGGCGAACGGGUGAGUAACACGUGGGUAACCUACCUCUUAGCAGGGGAUAACAUUUGGAAACAAGUGCUAAUACCGUAUAAUACCAACAACCGCAUGGUUGUUGGUUGAAAGAUGGUUCUGCUAUCACUAAGAGAUGGACCCGCGGUGCAUUAGCUAGUUGGUAAGGUAACGGCUUACCAAGGCAAUGAUGCAUAGCCGAGUUGAGAGACUGAUCGGCCACAAUGGGACUGAGACACGGCCCAUACUCCUACGGGAGGCAGCAGUAGGGAAUCUUCCACAAUGGGCGCAAGCCUGAUGGAGCAACGCCGCGUGUGUGAUGAAGGGUUUCGGCUCGUAAAACACUGUUAUAAGAGAAGAACGGCACUGAGAGUAACUGUUCAGUGUGUGACGGUAUCUUACCAGAAAGGAACGGCUAAAUACGUGCCAGCAGCCGCGGUAAUACGUAUGUUCCAAGCGUUAUCCGGAUUUAUUGGGCGUAAAGCGAGCGCAGACGGUUAUUUAAGUCUGAAGUGAAAGCCCUCAGCUCAACUGAGGAAUGGCUUUGGAAACUGGAUGACUUGAGUGCAGUAGAGGAAAGUGGAACUCCAUGUGUAGCGGUGAAAUGCGUAGAUAUAUGGAAGAACACCAGUGGCGAAGGCGGCUUUCUGGACUGUAACUGACGUUGAGGCUCGAAAGUGUGGGUAGCAAACAGGAUUAGAUACCCUGGUAGUCC